GGCUCGGUAGCUCAGUCGGUAGAGCAGAGGACUGAAAAUCCUCGUGUCGGCGGUUCGAUUCCGUCCCGAGCCACCAUUU
This 79-nucleotide transfer RNA is filed under the name Bacillus anthracis str. Sterne. Its description in RNAcentral is "tRNA-Phe". It matches the Rfam family "tRNA". Rfam says of the family: Transfer RNA (tRNA) molecules are approximately 80 nucleotides in length. Their secondary structure includes four short double-helical elements and three loops (D, anti-codon, and T loops). Further hydrogen bonds mediate the characteristic L-shaped molecular structure. tRNAs have two regions of fundamental functional importance: the anti-codon, which is responsible for specific mRNA codon recognition, and the 3' end, to which the tRNAs corresponding amino acid is attached (by aminoacyl-tRNA synthetases). tRNAs cope with the degeneracy of the genetic code in two manners: having more than one tRNA (with a specific anti-codon) for a particular amino acid; and 'wobble' base-pairing, i.e. permitting non-standard base-pairing at the 3rd anti-codon position. RNAcentral also lists the same sequence under 3 other names. Lineage: Bacteria; Bacillati; Bacillota; Bacilli; Caryophanales; Bacillaceae. The record is from RNAcentral.